CCAGUCGGCCGGGCAGUCGCGACCUCGGGGCUCACGCCCCGGUGUCGAGGAAAGUCCGGGCUCCAUCCGGCACGGUGGUGGGUAACACCCACCCGGAGCGAUCCGCGGGACAGUGCCACAGAGAGCAGACCGCCGCCGACGCCCUGCGGGGCACCGGCGGUAAGGGUGAAAGGGUGGUGUAAGAGACCACCGCGGCCUCGGCGACGAGGUCGGCACGGUAAACCCCACCGGGAGCAAGGUCAGACAGGGAACGUUCGAGGGCGCCGGCCCGAGUUCCCGGGUGGACCGCUGGAGGUCGUCGGCAACGGCGAUCCGAGAGGGAUGGCUGCCGAUCACAGAACCCGGCUUACAGGCCGGCUGGUCCG
This is a non-coding RNA of Brachybacterium sp. P6-10-X1, 365 nucleotides long. Lineage: Bacteria; Bacillati; Actinomycetota; Actinomycetes; Micrococcales; Dermabacteraceae. The record is from Rfam.